This 2876-nucleotide long non-coding RNA is filed under the name Homo sapiens (human). RNAcentral's name for it is "HSALNT0330843". The record is from RNAcentral. Lineage: Eukaryota; Metazoa; Chordata; Mammalia; Primates; Hominidae.
GCCCGAAGAAAAAAAGUGCCUUGUCCAAGUGGUAGAACUAGAAUUGAAUGCAGUCUUAGAGUCCAAGCUGUUUGCAUGUGUUUUUAAUAAUAAUAUUUUGUAACCCUGAUGCCUAUUCAAAAAUUGAAGCGAUCAGAAAUAAUAAUAGAUAACAUUUAAUGAGCACUGAUGAGUCCUAGUAACUGUUACAUGAAUCAUGUCGUUCUUUCGAGCCCAUCUUUUCUUGCCUAUUUGAGAACUUGGCUCUAACUGCUCUUUUUUGCAUCUUCAGUUUUUUCUUCUCUAUUGGAUCUUCCCUAUCAGUUCAUAAACAUGCUGCAGUGAUUGCCAUAAAAUCAUUUCAUGAUUUCAUUUUUUAAAAAAUCCUCCUUGACACCAAUCGGCAACCACCCCAUUUGUUUUCUUCUCUUUAUAACAAAAUUUCUGGGGAAAAAAAAUCUUUACAUCCAUUAUCUCCAUUUUCUUACCUUUUGUUCUUUUGUUUGUUUUUCCCACUUUAACCAGGAUUUGGUCCCAACCAAUACUAUGAAGUGGCUCUUGUUAGGUUUACCAGUGAUUCCUACCUUGCAAAAUUCGGUAGUCAAUAUUUAGUCCUCACUUCUGGUGAAAUUUGACAGAGUUGCUUGCUCUCAUUGAUUUGAGUCUUUAUGUCUUGGGAUGCCACACUCUCCUUGCCCUCUUCUUCUCAGUUUCUUUUGCAGACUACAAUUUCUGCCUGAGCUAAGCCAGACUCAAAGGGUUGAUCUGAGCUUUAAGAUUGGCAACAAAUUGCUCACAGUGUUGUCUCACAGAUUUAUCUGGGACUCCAAUGAACCAGAUGCUCAUUCAUUUGUAAUCACACCUAUGUUCUUGGAGAAAUGAAACAAAUACCAUUUUCCCUAUCACUGAACAAAGAUUCCUUAACUCAGGGGCCAGGAAAAGAUUGUUCUAGCUUAGGCCAAUCAUGACUGGCUGCAAUUAGGUAAUCUAAAAUCGAUCUGAACUUAUUUUUUCUCCUUUGUUACAAGAGAAGGUAUACCCUAUGUUAUUAAUGUUUCUUCCUAUUCUAUUUUAAAAAUAUGUAUUUUAAACUAUUAAUUGAGUGACUGCAAUGUGUUAGGCAUAGUGGAGGAAUUCAGAGAUGUGGUAAACUCGACUAUUGCCUAGAAGAUGCUCGCAAUAUAGUAGGAGAUUUUAAAAAACAAAUAGAACUUACAGGGCUGUAAAUGCUAUGCAAGUGGUAUGUGCCCCACACUAAAGGAGUUGUGUGAAGGGAGAGGUAUAUUUUGUCUAAAUGUUCCUUUAAAACUUCCCAGUGCAUGUGACACUUCAAGCAGGGCCUUGAAGGAUGGCAGAGCUAAGGAGGGGUGCAUUCUAGGGGAGGGGACAGCAUUAGGAAAGUCUUAGAGGUUACCCCAUGUCAUAAUAAAGGUCAUUCUUUAGGGAUGGCCUGAAUACAGGACUGCCAAUACCACCACUGGACGCUAGAUGUCACAAGUGAAAUGAAUUCUAGAUGGGUUCUACUUUUAAGAUAACUUAAUGGAACUUCUGAUUCACAAUACCAGAUGCAGAUCUCCGUACUCAGGCAAGGUCCGCAUACCAUGGCCUAAAUACCAAAGGUCAGGAAAAAGCAAAAAACAGCAACCUUGUAUCUGUUAUUUUCCAUUUACGUAAGGAGAGAUGGGACUUGGCCUCCUCACACAGUAGUGGAUUCACCAAGCAUAGGAUGGGAGUUCAGAUUCUGGGAAACAACACCCACCUCCCAACUCUGUGGCCCUCAGUUACAAUUCCUAAUAUUAUAGCUGUUCAGAACUGGGAUAGACUCCUGUAGUGAACUUGUCAUCAUUUCUUCAUUGUGACUGUUCUAGACGAAACGAGAGGAUUAGACUGUUACGUUAUAUUGAAAGCUGCAUAUAUUUUGACAGGAACUUAUUGAAUGAUCAUUUGUUUUGGGCAUUACAAAUGAAUAGUCUCUGUAUUAAACGAACUUAGAGUUUAGUGGAAGAGACAUUUACCAAACAAUAAACAGUAAAUCCUUACUUAGAGGAUGACUUAGACUUUCUUGUUCCUUCAUGUUAUUAAGUAGAGCUGCAAGCUAGUCAUCGCUGGGAUCAAGCAAAAACAAGCUCAGGACUCUGAGACACAGAGUCUGCAAAUAAGAAUGAGAUUAAGCUGUAGAGUGCUGUGAUUUAUAGGAUGGGCUGGAAUAUGAAGUUACGAAAGUUACACUCAAGGUUGUGGUCACUGAAACUUGGGGGAUGGCCGAGAUGAAGAAAAAAAGCUUUGAGAGAGAACGGAGGGGUGUGUGCAGGACUUUUGGGAUUGUCCUAAUCCAUGGCACAGGAGGAGAAUAAGGAUCCAACAAGAAAAACAGGAGCCAUAUGAGAAGAGAUCAGGAAAUUGAAUUGUCACAACUUCCACUGUGAUAAUUAGAUAUCAGAAUGAAUCAUUGUACCAGGCAGAUCAACCCUUUGAGUCUGGCUUAGCUCAGGCAGAAAUUGUAGUCUGCAAAAGAAACUGAGAAGAAGAGGGCAAGGAGAGUGUGGCAUCCCAAGACAUAAAGACUCAAAUCAAUGAGAGCAAGCAACUCUGUCAAAUUUCACCAGAAGUGAGGACUAAAUAUUGACUACCGAAUUUUGCAAGAAAGAUGAAGCAUUGGAAAGCACUGCAUAGCUCCAUGUUAUCAAUCAAUUAAUGUCUUCAGUCCUUUAAUGUCCUCUGGACAGCUGGGAUGCUUGGGAGAAGACUGUUGACAAGUCUUGUACGUGUGGAAGACACCAUUUUACUUACUUUCCCUUUAUUAUGGAAGGAACACAAGCCUAUCUUACAAAAAGAUACAUAGGACCCCGGAAGAACGAUUUUUAUUCUGAAUCUCAAUAAAAUAUUCUGUCACUUUG